GUUUAUUAAAUUGGGAAAAAGAUGGGAGCAAUACAUCCAAACAUGACUUUAGCUUCACUCCUACUCAAUGCUUAAUUUCCCAAAUAUAAACCAAACACUCUCUCUUUAAUUUCCUAACCCGACACGUAUCCCACAGAAAAAUUAACGGAUUUGCCACUAUGAGCUUCUUGGUUCCUAGUAGAGGAGCCAAGAUUCCUCUAUCCAUCAUCGUUCUUGUUAUAUGCGGUUUUAUGUUCUCCGUUCUCUUAUACACCGAAAGAAUCAGCUUGAUGUCCUCUUCCACUUUGUCUUAUAAUGUCCUCAAGUUAAAGUCUUGUCCUAGGAAAGACCUUAGCUCUAAACCUAAGGAUAUAGUUCAAGAGGAGAAAGUACGAGAGGAGAAUGGUCGAGAGGAGAACGGUCGAGAGGAAAAUGGUCGAGAAGAGAGGUCAGAAAAUAUGGAUGUGGUGGACGAUAGGUUUGAAUUCGAUCCAGAAGAGUGUAAUGUUGCAGCCGGGAAAUGGGUUUACAAAUUACAAUAGCUCAGCUGAGCCACUCUACACUGAUGAGUCAUGUCCAUACAUCGACCGUCAAUUCUCUUGAAUGAAAAACGGAAGACCAGAAACUGAUUAUCUUCGGUGGGAAUGGCAGCCUGAUGACUGUACCAUCCCACGGUAACUAAUCUAUACUCAAAAGCCUACUAAAAUAUAAAUUAAAACCGUUUGUGAUUUAAUUCAACCGUUUGUGAGGUGAAAGUACCUUCCUUUGUUUUAUUUGUUAAUCUUUUCCUUUUUUUUUUCUCUUAGAAAACGCAAUUUUUUCCUUUUUUCAAACAUAUUUCCUUUUUGACGAACCCUUGCUUCUCUAUAAAUAUUUAGCAAUCGAUCUCUAAUCAGAGGAACACAACAGAGAGAAACAAAUUAAGAAAAGAGAUUAGCAACGCUUUGGUAAUAACAAUCAUGGACCUGGACGGGAUCAUCUCAACGAAGCAGACUGUAAACUAUGAAUCGAAGACGCGUGCCGUUGAUUCCAAUACUGCAGUAUCAUUCUCGAUACGGGUCCGAGAAGUUGAACUGCGUUUUGUGAGGGAUGGUAGCUUUCUUCGCGAAAAUCUGUUAAAACACAGAACCAUAGCUUCACCGGUUAUUGGAUUGGAGAUCCCACCUUGUUUUCUUGCUGGUGAAGAAAUUUGCAGAGGUUAUGUUGCUAAGGCCUUGUCUAAGACAAUUAUACCCACCUGGAUUCAACCGUUCAUCCUUCCUCAAAUCUGCAAAGAUGCCAUUACGGAGGGCAAAAGAAGUGGUUUCAUGGUUGAAGCUCAAGUUGGAGCAGUCAAACAAACAUAUAUCAAUAACUGUAUUGAUGUGAAUGAUUACAAUUCUGAAGGUCGUAAAAUACCAACCGAACCAGAUUGUCCAAUCUGCCUACAAGAUUUUGGUCCUAGGAGUAUCAUCACCAAGUUGCGCUGCUGCGAUUACAAUUUUCACAGGGAUUGUAUUCUCACGUGGCUGGGCCACAAGCCUUCAUGUCCUACUUGUCGUGAUGAUAUCCACAACCCCCGACCAAAGAAAUUUACCCCAAAGAUAUUUUUAGGCCGAUAACACAUAUAUGGCCAUGAACUCAAAGAUUCAGAUUUUUAUUUAAAUCCUUUUCCCUUUCAUGUUGUGUCUAAUAUGUAUGGCUUUUCUUUUCUUUUUUCCUUUCCUUUUUCGUCUUAUAUAGUUAAGAAUUGAAUGAAAAUAUGUAUCGUUUCAUGUAAAAUUUGAAUCUAAAUCUUAAAUCUUUGAAGGAGGAACAGUUGACUUGAAGAAGCAAACCUUCGGAAGUGUUUUGGUUCAUGUGAAGUUUCUUCAGUAGCACGAGCAGCUAAUGAAUUGGUGAAAGCAAUCUUUGGAGAUCCUAUCAAAGAUCAGAUCCCUCCUUUCAAGGCAUAAUGAUGAGCAGCCACUGAAUAUUACAGGACAACUUAUUUUCCGUGGCCAAAAUGGCUACUUUCAGUCGGGUCAGGUUAGUUACAGAUUUUUUGAGAGUUUGAAGCAAGCUGGUACAUGUCCUCCCCUUGGAACCUAAUCUUAGACACACCACAACGAAUCACUAGACUCUUCUUUGCUCCUUGGGUAUAAUAAGCUUAUGGUACUGCAAGUCUAUGGAAUGGAAAGCCAAGAAAAAAAGAUACUGAAAGAAUUCUACAGAAAAUGUGCGCUCGUUUACAUGGUUCUAGUGGUGCUAGAACAGGUCAAGGACAGAGUUACCUAUGUUGCGCAUCACACCCCAUUCCAGGCUGCAGAAGGUUUUUGCUAUAUAUAUAUGGGCGUUUCAUUGGCAAGAUCGUACAGAGAAGUUUCUGGGAAGACAGAAUAUUUUCAUGAGCUAGUCACAGAGCCAGCUCAACUUUUGGAGGUUCUGUCAGAAGACUUACCAGUUCGCUGUGUUAUGGUCUUACAUGAAGACGAAGCAAUACCAACGUGGAUCCACAAGAAGGCAAGGACAAGGUUGGUUUGUGUAACUAGAACAAGAGUAACAACAAAAAAAGUUAGCAACCAUGUUAUCACUUCUCUGUAAAGUUUGCAACAUUCUGAUUUGUAAACCCUUUCAACAACAAAGAAGUUGACUCUGAUC
Molecule: long non-coding RNA, 2598 nt
Organism: Brassica napus (rape)
Lineage: Eukaryota; Viridiplantae; Streptophyta; Magnoliopsida; Brassicales; Brassicaceae
Exons: 3
Source: RefSeq, a predicted model, not a curated record